This 340-nucleotide ribosomal RNA is filed under the name uncultured bacterium. Its description in RNAcentral is "bacterial SSU rRNA". It matches the Rfam family "Bacterial small subunit ribosomal RNA", at positions 42 to 406 of the family's 1533-position model. The record is from RNAcentral.
UCAGGCCUAACACAUGCAAGUCGUACGAGAGUUUUUAACUCUAGUGGCGGACGGGUGAGUAACACGCGAGAAUUUGCCUUUAGGAGGGGGACAACAAUUGGAAACGAAUGCUAAUACCCCAUAUGCUUUAGAGUGAAAUGGAUUUUAUCCGCCUAGAGAGAAGCUCGCGGCUGAUUAGCUUGUUGGUAAGGUAAGAGCUUACCAAGGCGACGAUCAGUAUCUGGUUUGAGAGGACGAUCAGACACACUGGAACUGAGACACGGUCCAGACUCCUACGGGAGGCAGCAGUGGGGAAUUUUCCGCAAAGGGCGAAAGCCUGACGGAGCAAUACCGCGUGAGG